RNAcentral lists this transfer RNA (76 nucleotides) under Trithetrum navasi. Its description in RNAcentral is "tRNA-Val". It matches the Rfam family "tRNA". Rfam says of the family: Transfer RNA (tRNA) molecules are approximately 80 nucleotides in length. Their secondary structure includes four short double-helical elements and three loops (D, anti-codon, and T loops). Further hydrogen bonds mediate the characteristic L-shaped molecular structure. tRNAs have two regions of fundamental functional importance: the anti-codon, which is responsible for specific mRNA codon recognition, and the 3' end, to which the tRNAs corresponding amino acid is attached (by aminoacyl-tRNA synthetases). tRNAs cope with the degeneracy of the genetic code in two manners: having more than one tRNA (with a specific anti-codon) for a particular amino acid; and 'wobble' base-pairing, i.e. permitting non-standard base-pairing at the 3rd anti-codon position. Lineage: Eukaryota; Metazoa; Arthropoda; Insecta; Odonata; Libellulidae. The record is from RNAcentral.
AGGCAAACGAACUAGAGCUUGAUAGAAAGCGUUUCAUUUACACUGAUAUUUUAAUUGUGCAAUUCAAUUUGGUUUG